Fundulus heteroclitus (mummichog) is the source of this 400-nucleotide long non-coding RNA. RefSeq lists it as uncharacterized. NCBI's taxonomy places the organism in Eukaryota, Metazoa, Chordata, Actinopteri, Cyprinodontiformes, Fundulidae. The record is from RefSeq and is a predicted model, not a curated record. The transcript has 3 exons.
GCAGAAGAAGAGAGAGCAACAAACGCGGUUAAACGGAGAAGUUCCAGAAGAUAAGCGCUUCAAGUUGUCCAGCAGUGCCGAAUUUCCACCGUGCGGCAAUUGCGGCAGGGAUUUAUUUUUUGGAGCGGAAAAUAAACUUGUGAACACAUCCAAGACGAGGUGUGGAGCCAGUCCUCUUAACUGCCAUCCCUUUUACAUAGGUGUCCCAGACAAGGGGGUCAUCUGCCAGUGACAGAAUUUUUUUUUUUUUUUUUUUUUAUUCAUGGAUGCAAAAGAAUGCAAUUGUAUUAUUUAAUUGUAUCUAAUUAUUUUGUAAAGUCAAAUGUUUUUCUUUGUUUGCCUCUUCAUGGGCAAUAAAGUUUAAUCUCAAGGAACCCUGUUUGCUGUUAGGUGUUUUUCC